UACGAAGGGGGCUAGCGUUGCUCGGAAUCACUGGGCGUAAAGGGUGCGUAGGCGGGGCUUUAAGUCAGGGGUGAAAUCCUGGAGCUCAACUCCAGAACUGCCUUUGAUACUGAGGAUCUUGAGUUCGGGAGAGGUGAGUGGAACUGCGAGUGUAGAGAUGAAAUUCGUAGAUAUUCGCAAGAACACCAGUGGCGAAGGCGGCUCACUGGCCCGGUACUGACGCUGAGGUGCGAAAGCGUGGGGAGCAAACAGG
This 253-nucleotide ribosomal RNA is filed under the name uncultured bacterium. RNAcentral describes it as "partial 16S ribosomal RNA". It matches the Rfam family "Bacterial small subunit ribosomal RNA", at positions 524 to 776 of the family's 1533-position model. The record is from RNAcentral.